RNAcentral lists this transfer RNA (92 nucleotides) under Asterionella formosa. RNAcentral describes it as "tRNA-Ser". It matches the Rfam family "tRNA". From Rfam's summary of the family: Transfer RNA (tRNA) molecules are approximately 80 nucleotides in length. Lineage: Eukaryota; Bacillariophyta; Fragilariophyceae; Tabellariales; Tabellariaceae. The record is from RNAcentral.
AGAGAGGUGACCGAGUGGUUUAAGGUGGAGGUUUGCUAAAUCUUUAUACAUUUAUUUAUUUUGUAUCGUAGGUUCAAAUCCUAUUCUUUCUG